Long non-coding RNA from Ceratosolen solmsi marchali, 389 nucleotides. RefSeq lists it as uncharacterized. Lineage: Eukaryota; Metazoa; Arthropoda; Insecta; Hymenoptera; Agaonidae. The transcript has 3 exons. The record is from RefSeq and is a predicted model, not a curated record.
AUAUUAGUAUGUAAUGACGUUAAUGUUGAACGUUAAUAAACAAAAGUGAAUAGCACGGAUGCAAUGUCCACUGUUAGAAUGAUUCGCGAGCCUUUGUAAUGGCAUCGCUCAGCGAUAUCAUCCGGUUUCUUCUGUACAUGAUAAGAAUAGCGAUACGAUGAUGACAACCGAGGCGAUUGCUCCAGGGGAUAUACCUCCACCUGCCAUCCCAUGACACCUCCAUUCUACAUUUUUAUCAGCAUCUUUUUAUGAAACCACAGCACCUCCAGCCUUUUAUAGCGGACGAAAAGGAUGGAGGGGGACGGGGAAACAUAGAGGUUGGGCAAAGGAUCCAGCAAAAGUCAUGAAAGACAAAAGGCUUCCCUUUUUCAUUUUUUUAUUUCAAGAAA